This is a long non-coding RNA of Myotis myotis, 556 nucleotides long. RefSeq lists it as uncharacterized. The transcript is spliced from 3 exons. The record is from RefSeq and is a predicted model, not a curated record. NCBI's taxonomy places the organism in Eukaryota, Metazoa, Chordata, Mammalia, Chiroptera, Vespertilionidae.
CUCUCCCUAGAUAACCACAUGUAGCCCCUCGCCCUGUUUGAGAUUAACAUGUGUGCAUUGAUGUAAUUCAUUGAUAGCCACCUGAACUGAUAGAGACAGGACCGAGCUCUCAGGUAAGGAAUGCCGGCCCCCUGCAUCCGGACCAGACCAGCCCAGAGGACAGCACCACCGGGAUCCCCUUUAAGUCUGUACUCGCAGCAUCAGGAACUUGUGGCCCCCUCAUCCUACUAGAUGCCCAAAGCUCUCCGAUGUGUCUGGAUCACUUGGAACUCCCAAAGCCGGGCAGCUGUACUACACCGGGCCCAGCAGCAGUGACCUGACCCAGGACCUGGUUAGAAAUGCAGACCUGGAUCCCAGCCCAGACCUGCUGAGUCAGAGCCUGCAUCUCCUAACAAGAUUCCUCGUGACUUGUGUGCACAUGUAAAGAAGCACUAAAAUGGUGAUAUAGGUAAAUGUAGUACUUGCUGCCUCUCACAACCACAUCAAAAUUACAACUAAAAUACAGAACAACCAUCUUUUGGAACCACCUGAAAUCUGGCUGAAUGGAAGUCCUACA